AGAGUUUGAUCCUGGCUCAGGGUGAACGCUGGCGGCGUGCUUGACACAUGCAAGUCGAACGGUAUGUGGCAACACAUAGAGUGGCGAACGGGUGGGUAACACGUGGGAACGUAUCUUUUGCAGGGGGAUAACUGACCGAAAGGACAGCUAAUACCGCAUAAGUCCGAGAGGAGAAAGGUGCAACAGCAUCGGCAGAAGAGCGGCCCGCGGUCCAUCAGCUAGUUGGUGAGGUAAGGGCUUACCAAGGCGACGACGGAUAGCCGGCGUGAGAGCGUGGCCGGCCACAAGGACACUGAGAUACGGGUCCUACUCCUACGGGAGGCAGCAGUGCGGAAUUUUAGAUAAUGGAGGGAACUCUGAUCUAGCGACGCCGCGUGCAGGAAGAAGGUCUUCGGAUUGUAAACUGCUGUGGUAAGGGAAAAAUGCUAUGUAGAGUGGAAAGCUACAUAGAGGGAUGGUACCUUACUAGAAAGCCCCGGCUAACUACGUGCCAGCAGCCGCGGUAAUACGUAGGGGGCGAGCGUUACCCGGAAUCACUGGGCGUAAAGGGAGCGUAGGUGGCCUAACAUGUCAACUGUGAAAACCCGGAGCUCAACUCCGGACUUGCAGUUGAAACUGGUAGGCUUGAGGACGGUAGAGGAAGACGGAACUGCCAGUGUAGGGGUAAAAUCCUUAGAUAUUGGCAGGAACGCCGGUGACGAAGGUGGUUUUCUGGGCCGGUUCUGACACUGAUGCUCGAAAGCCAGGGGAGCGAACGGGAUUAGACACCCCGGUAGUCCUGGCCCUAAACGAUGUUCACUAGGUGUGGGGAGCGGAAAGCUCUCCGUGCUAAAGCUAACGCGAUAAGUGAACCGCCUGGGGAGUACGCCCGCAAGGGUGAAACUCAAAGGAAUUGACG
This 898-nucleotide ribosomal RNA is filed under the name Thermotogae bacterium enrichment culture clone L11_1_23. RNAcentral's name for it is "bacterial SSU rRNA". It matches the Rfam family "Bacterial small subunit ribosomal RNA", at positions 8 to 915 of the family's 1533-position model. Lineage: Bacteria; Thermotogati; Thermotogota; Thermotogae. The record is from RNAcentral.